RNAcentral lists this ribosomal RNA (788 nucleotides) under Staphylococcus epidermidis. Its description in RNAcentral is "bacterial LSU rRNA". It matches the Rfam family "Bacterial large subunit ribosomal RNA", at positions 685 to 1474 of the family's 2925-position model. The record is from RNAcentral. Lineage: Bacteria; Bacillati; Bacillota; Bacilli; Caryophanales; Staphylococcaceae.
GAAUAGGGCGUUUGAGUAUUUGUUCUUAGACCCGAAACCAGGUGAUCUACCCUUGGUCAGGUUGGAGUUCAGGUAACACUGAAUGGAGGACCGAACCGACUUACGUUGAAAAGUGAGCGGAUGAACUGAGGGUAGCGGAGAAAUUCCAAUCGAACUUGGAGAUAGCUGGUUCUCUCCGAAAUAGCUUUAGGGCUAGCCUCAAGUGAUGAUUAUUGGAGGUAGAGCACUGUUUGGACGAGGGGCCCCUCUCGGGUUACCGAAUUCAGACAAACUCCGAAUGCCAAUUAAUUUAACUUGGGAGUCAGAACAUGGGUGAUAAGGUCCGUGUUCGAAAGGGAAACAGCCCAGACCACCAGCUAAGGUCCCAAAAUAUAUGUUAAGUGGAAAAGGAUGUGGCGUUGCCCAGACAACUAGGAUGUUGGCUUAGAAGCAGCCAUCAUUUAAAGAGUGCGUAAUAGCUCACUAGUCGAGUGACACUGCGCCGAAAAUGUACCGGGGCUAAACAUAUUACCGAAGCUGUGGAUUGUCCUUUGGACAAUGGUAGGAGAGCGUUCUAAGGGCGUCGAAGCAUGAUCGCAAGGACAUGUGGAGCGCUUAGAAGUGAGAAUGCCGGUGUGAGUAGCGAAAGACGGGUGAGAAUCCCGUCCACCGAUUGACUAAGGUUUCCAGAGGAAGGCUCGUCCGCUCUGGGUUAGUCGGGUCCUAAGCUGAGGCCGACAGGCGUAGGCGAUGGAUAACAGGUUGAUAUUCCUGUACCACCUAGUAUCGUUUUAAUCGAUGGGGGGACG